AGGGGGCCUCUUCAUCAUUUCGUCAUUUGGUGGUUCUGUGGCUAAGGCCAAGGCUCCCAACGUAUCCAUAAUCAUGUUCACCCAUAGCAACUGAACAGCAGUAAGUGGUGCACUCCCUUCAAGUAAAGGGAAGAAGAGAGGACAAUUAUUAUAGACCGGCGUUAUGGAAUCAAAUACCAUAGGAAUAGGAAUAGGAAUAAUCAGUAGAUAUAUCUAAUUCUAGUUGUGGUAGCAAGUGUGCUAAUACCUAUGAUGCACGCUGAGACAAAAUUCACAAUCAGAGCCACAAUAUUAACUGUAAGCUGGAACUGCACAAACUUCUGGAUGUUUAAGUAAACUGCACGGCCCCAUCUAGCAACAUUUACAAUGGUUUCGAAAUUGUCAUCCAUUAUUAUAACAUC
RNAcentral lists this small RNA (401 nucleotides) under Oryza sativa Japonica Group (Japanese rice). RNAcentral's name for it is "sRNA Os05g0495650". The record is from RNAcentral. Lineage: Eukaryota; Viridiplantae; Streptophyta; Magnoliopsida; Poales; Poaceae.